CAACGGGAAAGCACAUGCUAAGUAAGACACACAGGUGUGCAAGACAGUGUGCCGAGGAACACAGGAAGGAGGAAGCAUAGAGUCUGACUGGCAAGGGGCUGGCUGGAGACAGUUCUGGAACUGAGGCAGGGUCGGAUCACAGCAGGGUGGAAGUGUGCAGGGGAAAGGACUUCCCCAGAGGCCAUGGGAGAUGGUGAGUGAUGGCAGGAGGCCAGCUGGGACGCUGUGGGGCAGAAAUGUGUUCCCUAGAGCAGAGUCAGAGAUCACAGAAGCCUGUGCACAGCAGAGCAGGAAGAAAAUGGUAGACCACAGCCUCCUAGACGGCUGAACCAGUGUCUUAUUCAGCCAGCCCCUGGAAUGGCAGACAGUAACUAUGGAGGCAACAAUGUCCUUCACUCAUGCACAAGUCAGCUACCGAAAGCAAAACACCUGCAGGAAUCUCCCUGUGACCAUCCAACCGUGUGACCCACAGUGAAGGGAACCAUAGAGGUAAAUGAUUACUAGCGGUUUAAUGCCAGCCAAGGAAAAGCAGCCUGAUGCAAUGGGCAGAAGACAACUACUGGAAGAAUGAUACUGUAUUAAGUUAUGACCUGAAGAAAUGGAGAUGCUGGGACCUUGGAAAAACGAACAGUAGCCCUCACCCCCCAAGGUGUUUAGGGUAGUCGCCGGACAAUAGAGACCAACAAAGUAGGUGACACGAGCUGAAUCCUCAGGUCUCUCCCUAAACACAGACCAGCUCUGCAGGGAAGAGGAGCCUGGACACCCGGGGAGCUCCACCCUUGGCUCUGAUGCGUCUGUCCAAGCCACAGCAUGAGAGCCUGGCUCUUCUAACUCUGGUGAACCAAGGGCACUACAGCACCCCCCACCCCAUCCGAGCCCCCAAGCCCAGCUGUGCUGAAAACUUCACUGUGAAAGGAGAGUAUGCGCCAAGGAGCCCGGCUGAGCAACAUUUCCGCGGGCUCUUAAAGCCUACAUCCUCCCAGCAUCCCUGACCUUCCGCCGGCAGGAGCUAUCACUGUCCUCCCUAGGAUGAGCUCCCACAGUCUUCCCGCAGCUGUGCCUCUGCAUCUCUCCUCCUUCUCCUGCUCUCUGGUCUGCCCUGGAACAGGGACGCCAGGCGCUGCUCUGGCGUCCCGCAACCAAGAAGUGCCUUCCCACAGACAAGUACAGUUGACCCUUGAACGGUGUGGGGCUUAGGGACACCAACUGCCUGCACAGUCCAAAAUCUGUGCAUUACUUUUGACUCCUCCCCAAAUUUAGCUACUAAUAGCCUACUGUUGACCAGAAACUUUACUGAUAACAUAAACAGCCAGUUAGUACACAUUUGGUACGUUACAUGUUUCAUACCCUGAUUUCUUGCAACAAAGUAAGCUAGAGAAAAGAAAACCUUAUUAAUUAACUCACAAGGAGGACACAUUUACAGGACUAUACUGUUGUUUAUUGAAAAAAAAUCCACACGUAAGUGGAGCCAUGCAGUUCAGACCUCUGUGGAUCA
This is a long non-coding RNA of Neofelis nebulosa (Clouded leopard), 1495 nucleotides long. RefSeq lists it as uncharacterized. NCBI's taxonomy places the organism in Eukaryota, Metazoa, Chordata, Mammalia, Carnivora, Felidae. The record is from RefSeq and is a predicted model, not a curated record. The transcript is spliced from 3 exons.